RNAcentral lists this ribosomal RNA (253 nucleotides) under uncultured bacterium. Its description in RNAcentral is "partial 16S ribosomal RNA". It matches the Rfam family "Bacterial small subunit ribosomal RNA", at positions 524 to 776 of the family's 1533-position model. The record is from RNAcentral.
UACAGAGGGUGCGAGCGUUAAUCGGAAUUACUGGGCGUAAAGGGCGCGUAGGUGGUUAAGUAAGUGAGAUGUGAAAGACCUGGGCUUAACCUGGGAAAGGCAUCUGAUACUGCGGAACUAGAGUAGGGUAGAGGGGAGUGGAAUUUCCGGUGUAGCGGUGAAAUGCGUAGAUAUCGGAAGGAACACCAGUGGCGAAGGCGGCUCCCUGGACCCUAACUGACACUGAGGCGCGAAAGCGUGGGGAGCGAACAGG